Drosophila subobscura is the source of this 709-nucleotide long non-coding RNA. RefSeq lists it as uncharacterized. The record is from RefSeq and is a predicted model, not a curated record. NCBI's taxonomy places the organism in Eukaryota, Metazoa, Arthropoda, Insecta, Diptera, Drosophilidae. The transcript is spliced from 3 exons.
AAACGCCUCGACAAGGCAACAUCAAAAAUUUAGAUUCAAAAAACAAAAAUUCAAAAAUGUUAACACAAAUAAAUUUUUACGAGUCGGGAAGCUAAGAGUGAAGAAAAUUCUAACAGAUGCCAGAUAUAAAAUAGUUGGUAGCGUUUUUUUGUCUGCCCUUAUUUAGUUUUUGUUCAUUUGAUUCUUGCGGCACGAGCAUUGUGGCGCUAUGGUUUGUCGGAGGCAGUCUGCAGUCGCACCAAAGCUUCGGGUUGGCUCUUUGUGGGUGUCAUCCUGUUGGCUGAUCCGUUGCUAUUGAUUCUGGGGGGACACCGUCCAAUUGGCUCCUUGAGAGUGUAGAUAGAGCCAUUCGCUGUCCCCAUUGCAUCCCCGCAUCCCUUCUUUGAUGCAAACAGAUUCUAGGUAAACCUCAAGGCAAUGUCUACGGACUGCAUUAGCAUGGAUCAUUCACAAUAAUGUUUAAAUAAUGUUUGAAAAACCUGCACUGCGAGGACCAAGUUGUUUCGCCGCUUUGAGAACCAAACGGAAGUUGUAUUUCAUCGUUAAACAAAAUUAUGGUACCAAAUCGGAGACAUUAGCGUGGGUUGUCUGCUGCAAGCACCAGGUCACGGCUUCCUCCCAGGAUAAGUAGCAAAGGAUCAGCGAAUAGGAUGAGAAACAUGAACAACGAACCCCAUGCUAUGAUUAAACUGCAGAUUCAAGUUCUCCA